This is a long non-coding RNA of Amphibalanus amphitrite, 646 nucleotides long. RefSeq lists it as uncharacterized. The record is from RefSeq and is a predicted model, not a curated record. Lineage: Eukaryota; Metazoa; Arthropoda; Thecostraca; Balanomorpha; Balanidae. The transcript is spliced from 3 exons.
AAAGAGAGGUGAAGAUUGAAGAGGAUGGCCAUUGGCCAAUGGCCAUUGGCGUCUGGACGUCUGACGAAUCUGUGGGUCCCUCCACCCUGAAGUGCAGAGGUCACAUCGGACAUCGGAAAGGGCGGAAAGACACCCUCGCCAGCCCCGCCCCGAGGUGCCCUGCGACAGCCUGGUUUUGGACCUCGCCUUCUGGAGAGAAAGAGGAAGGUGGUGACGCGGUAGUGCAGCUGGAACACCUUGUUGUCGAUCAGCACCUGGCCGGGCUGCUUCUUCCUGAUGACGGCGGCCGCGUCGCCGAGCAGGGCGGUGAUGGCCAUCCUGGUCGGCUGGGCUCUCUGCGCGAGGAACAGACGCGGGCGCAGAUUCAGACAGGGAUGUGGCUGGCAGUAUCCGCCCCGCCAAUAGUACCGGAUCGAAAACGUCGUGGAGGGAGCCGUGCGCUGCAGCGCACGGUAGCCGCACCAAGCGCAGCUCCGGCCAGAGAGGCGUCGGUGUGAAAUAACACCCGCCCGCCGGCUCCUUUGUUCCAUUGUUGGUAGCGCGCUAGAUCGGGUUGCAAAUUUAGGAGGCAAGCGAAAUGAAGCCGUCUGAACAAUCACUGGUGCUUGCCAAUUUGUGAAGCUCAAUACGAUAAGGACGGGGCUGA